GAUGGACAAGGAUUGUUGGGCGAGGGAGCAGCUCCCCUUUCCCAGACACCAAAGCCCCAUCUGCCAGAAGGAAAAAGUGUUCUAAUGGGGGGAAAUGCCUAUCCUAUGGACAGCGCUGAGUCGGCUGGGGACUCCUGUAAUCCCAGCUCCAAAGAGGACUUUUCAAGGACUCAGAGUAGGAGCAUACAUCAACUCCAGCUUGCUGGCUUUACAGAGGAGGAAACUAAGGCUUAAAAACAUCUCAUGGACCGAAGACCAGAACACAGUUCCCUUGACUGUCAAUUCCUGAACAACAAGAAAAACGACAGAAACACUGGGUUAUCAAAGUUCAAGAUGGGGCCGAUAGAGGGGGUGGUAGAGGGCAGGAACCGAUGAGAGAGCCAUCCUGCUGACUGGCUUGAAUCACUGUAUAGGGGGCAGCAUUUCACCGCUCUAACAGCCUCCCUGGGAUGGGGUUGGGGGGGGGGGGCAGUCCCAGUCUCCCCUUCCUUGCUCCUCAGACUUCUACUCUGAAAUUCAAGGAACUGAAAAUGAAUCUGCUUCCCAGAGAGACAAUAUAAGUUAAAGUGCAAAGUCAGUUCCAGAAAAACAGGUAAAGUCCAACCUAAGGGAAAUCACAGUGGGCCAGCAGUGUUUACGCACAUUACCCAUGCAUGCCACAUAUGUGUGAACCUCCACACAGCCCUUCUUUCUCUUCAGAAGUUGGCCUUGACACAGAUGCACGCGACAGCUUUUCAGAGGGAAGUCACAAAGCACACUACACACUGGCUAUUGAGAGCGCUAACUAUGAAACAGGAUUCGAAGAAACUCUACAAAGCUUUGAGAUUGCCUCAUCAGUGUACUUUGUAGAAUGGGGAAUCUCGUAGUUUGACAUCCCGAUUUCUUCCCAAUUCUUCCUCUGACUUUGUAAAUAGGAAUUUGGAGAAGUCAUCCUCUACUGGAAAUAAAACAACAACAUCAAUGGCCUUUGUAAUAGUGAGUUGGCCAGAAAAAUCAAGAAGCUCAUUUAAAAAUCAGAAAACAUUCACCAAGUUAUUUUCACUUCAACUGUAAUUUUUGCCGUUGUGUGUCUUAGUCCAGUAUCUUAAUGUUGGUAUUUAAUUCUGUUCUAUUCUUCAAGCCUGCAUGGGUUGCUUGUAGCAGAUUUGAUCAUUUGAUGGUCCAUAAUUAUUAACCCCCUUUUACCUACCACUUUUCCCUCUAGCUUUG
Long non-coding RNA from Dipodomys spectabilis (banner-tailed kangaroo rat), 1209 nucleotides. RefSeq lists it as uncharacterized. The transcript has 3 exons. The record is from RefSeq and is a predicted model, not a curated record. Lineage: Eukaryota; Metazoa; Chordata; Mammalia; Rodentia; Heteromyidae.